Molecule: long non-coding RNA, 3852 nt
Filed under: Solanum lycopersicum (tomato)
Lineage: Eukaryota; Viridiplantae; Streptophyta; Magnoliopsida; Solanales; Solanaceae
Description: long non-coding RNA (SLYC_LNC000342)
Source: RNAcentral
UUUAAUCUUAUGCUUAAUAUGCCACGUAAAGAUAUUACCAAAAAAAAGAAGAAAGAUAUCAUUUUUUUAAAACAGACUAAAAAGAAAAGAAAGUCAUUUUUUUCAAACGGAGAUAGUACAAAAUACGAGUGAUAUAUCUCUAGUUAAAUUGGCCAUUUGCAUGAAAAAGAGACUUCUACUUGUGUAUAGUAUACAUUAUUUCAAGAACUUUAACAUUAUUUAAGUGUAACUUGAUAUCACAAUGUCUGGGAUUUUCACAUUAUAAAUAAGGAAGUUUCUUAAGAUAAAAAUAUCUCAAGUAACACUAAGUCUUCCCAAAAAAAAAAAAUGGCUACUUCACAUUGGUUUAUGUUUUUCUUGUCAAGUGUCUUGUCUUUAUUUGCUUCUUCUACUUGUAAUUCUGUACCAUUUGUGGGUUCUAAUCAACUCAAGUUUUGGAAAGAAAAUGUUGUCAAUGAAAUGCCUCCAUCUCUUGUUUCUAAAUUAUCUCCAAUGAACAUGAUUGACUCUCAAUAUUACACUUCAUUAGUGUCCAAAAAGGCAUUUUCUUUUGAUACUCAAAGUUGUUUGCUUGCUGAUAUAUUUUGUACUUCUGAGACUAAUGCCCAAACAUCCAAAAUCACCAAUCUAGAUUCUAAGAUAUUCUACACAACCAGAACCCCUGAUCAAGCUAAAGUCUAUGCUAAACUCCCAAAUCAAGCCAAAGUUUAUCCCUCCAAAAUUCCUAAUCAAGCUAAGGUCUACACAACCAAAAUCCCUAAUCUAGAUUCUAAGAUAUUCUACGCGACCAGAACCCCUGAUCAAGCCAAGGUCUAUCCAGCUAAUCUUCCCGAACAAGCUAAGGUCUAUACAUCAAAAAUUUAUGCAACUUCACACUCUCAUAGUCAUCAUCUUGGAGAAGUCUCUUUCUUCAGAGUCUCUACCCUCAAACCUGGAAACACAGUCCAUCUAGACAACUUAGUGAACCCGUUCCCUCAUCGCUCAUUUCUUCCAUCACAAAUUGCCUCAAAGAUCUCCAUUAACUCAAACCAUCUCCAACACUUAUUCCCUCAAACUUUCACUUCACCAUACACAAAAGAUACCACAAAAACUACCAUCCUCAAUUGCAAUGCACCUACUCUAAAAGGAGAAGUUAAAACAUGCGCGAAAUCCUUGGAAGAAAUGAUAGAGUUCUCAAAGAGAAGCUUGAAACAGAACCACCUAAUUUCAUUGACAACAGAAAGCAUACAAGGGUCAGGACAGAAACUAAAAAUUGAGAAAUUUCAUAAAAUCAAUUCCCAAAGGAGUGUCUCAUGCCAUGAGAUAUUCCUUCCUUUUGCUACAUACUUUUGUCAUUUGCUAUCUUCAACUAACAUUUACGCGGUGGAGCUAGUUGAUUUAAACACUAAUGUUCAUGUUAAUAAAGCUAUGGUUGUUUGUCAUAUGGAUACUUCUUCUUGGCCAGCUGAUCAUCCAGUUUUCAAAAAAUUGAAUUUUUCACCUGGAAAUGGAGAGGUUUGUCAUUGGAUGUCACAAGCUGAUCUUGUUUGGGUUGGAGAUGAUGCGCAUGCAUAAAAUAAUUUUUUAAAAAAAGUCUACUUAUGUUAAUUAAGCUUUGAGUUUAAUUGUAAAAAUGGAUUGUCUUUUUUCUUGUUUCUAUGUGUUUAGGAAUAGUAAGGUAUUGUAAUUAUGGGGAAAAAAGUCCAAAUCCUUACUUUCCCUUUCUUGUGUGAAGUGUGAAUUGUGAUGGUUUUUGGUCUUUUUAUGUGUAUUUUAAUAACUUGCAGUUAAUACUCCUAUUCUAAGUUACUUGGACUUGAGUACGGGUGUCGAUCAAGAGAUCGGAUUCUUUAUGAUCUAGCUUUUAAGAUUCAGGAAUAUGGAUAUCGAUGUGGGUAUUCGUCUAAAAAUAAUUAAAAUAUCUAAAAAUAGAAUUAUAAAACCUAAACUAUGAGAUAUUUUAUGGAGAACUUGAGGAGAAUCCUGCGAGGAGAUUAGAGAAAAAGGAGUGACAUAGAAAUUUUUAUAUAAAGGGUAUCACAUUUUCUUCAAUUUCAUCUUAGCUUUUGUAUUGAUUAUAGAAAAUAUUGAAACUGUUUAGACUUUUGCCCCCAUCGAUUUUGGUCAAAUUACCCAAAAUUGAUUGACCAAAAUAAACACUGAUCUCACACCUACACCCAUGUUGUGUCGACACGGGUGCGGCACAAUCCAAGCAACUUAGCUCCUAUUACAUUUAAGUUAAGUUUUCUGCAAAAGCAGUACAAUAAAAAAUUAUUUGAUAUUUAUUACAUUUUGAUAUUUCGUAUUAGAGGCAGUGGUGAAUCUACAUAGAGUUGAAAGUAUUUAUCCGAACUCUUGAAUCGAAAAAUUAUACAAUGAUAUAGAAUCAAAUGUAUAUUUUAUGUCCAUAUAUUCUAUAUUGAACCCCUCAACACAAGUAAGAGGGCUUGGGCCGUUAUAGGGGUUCAAAAACUAGUUAGCACGUGAAUUCAGAUACCGUUAGCAACAUUUUUCAAUGUUUUAGCUUGAAAUUUGCUACGAACCAUUUGUCAGCAUUAUUUAACAUGUUAUUUAAACCUCUCUAUAAAAAUCCAAACUCCGCCACCCUCUUAAAGAAAAAAGAUAUUUUGAGGGACAUGACACUCAAUUUUCUCUAGUCGAUAAUCUUAGGGCCCGUUUGGAUGGGCUUAAUAAAAGCAGCUUUAAAAAAGUACUUUUGAAAGUGCUGAAACUUAUUUUUAAAAUAAGCAGUUAUGCGUUUGGAUAAAAGUGCUAAAGUUGUUAUGCCAAACGUGAAAAGGGAAAAAUAGAAGAAAGAGAUGUUAGGGUUAUAUGGGUAAUUUGGAGAUUGUAUAAAAAUAUUAAAGGAAAAAACAUUAAAAUAUGGUCAACUUAAAACAGCUUAUAAGCUAAAAAAAAAAGCACCACUACCCCAGCUUUUAACUUUUGGCUUAAAAUAAGUUUUUUUUAACUUAAAAAUAAGCUAUUUUGAGUAUAGUAUGGCCAAAUAGUUAAAUAAGUCAAAAACCAGCUUUUAAGUCAGUUUGACCAGCUUUUAAGCUGAGCCAAACAGGCUCUUAGGGCCCGUUUGGAUGGGCUUAAUAAAAGCAGCUUUAAAAAAGUACUUUUAAAAGUGCUGAAACUUAUUUUUAAAAUAAGCAGUUAUGCGUUUGGAUAAAAGUGCUGAAGUUGUUAUGCCAAACGUGAAAAGGGAAAAAUAGAAGAAAGAGAUGUUAGGGUUAUAUGGGUAAUUUGGAGAUUGUAUAAAAAUAUUAAGCGAAAAAACAUAAAAAUAUGGUCAACUUAAAACAGCUUAUAAGCUAAAAAAAAGAAAGCACCCCUACCCCUACCCCAGCUUUUAACUUUUGGCUUAAAAUAAGUUUUUUUAACUUAAAAUAAGCUAUUUUGAGUAUUGCCAAACAGUUAAAUAAAUCAAAAACCAGCUUUUAAGUCAGUUUGACCAGCUUUUAAGCUGAGCCAAACAAGCUCUUAUAACCUCAUAUAAAAAUGCCUAAAUAAGCUAAACUUCACACGUAUGAAGUUAUUUUAAAGUGUUUAAAGUGCAAGAAAUUGAUAUUUUGGCUAUAUUUUAAAUACUCGCCCGGAUAUGGAUAUCCUAUUAUGGGCCGGAUAAGGGUGUAUCUGACCCAUGAGAAAUUCGGGUCAAAACUUCUGAUAGCACCAAAAUAUCUGAAGCAGGGAGAAGAAGCACAAAAUUGACUUACAGCUAUGGGGCUCUCAGCUUCUAAGAGAGUUAGCAAUUCACUCCAAAAUUCAUCCGAAUUCAACUCGGCAUGUGAUUCAGUCUAUGAUGAUUGUCUCUCCCUAUCACAGCACGCUUUCGCCGGAGUGAAACCCUACCAGCUUUUCUCC